RNAcentral lists this ribosomal RNA (471 nucleotides) under uncultured Geobacter sp. RNAcentral's name for it is "bacterial SSU rRNA". It matches the Rfam family "Bacterial small subunit ribosomal RNA", at positions 335 to 797 of the family's 1533-position model. Lineage: Bacteria; Pseudomonadati; Thermodesulfobacteriota; Desulfuromonadia; Geobacterales; Geobacteraceae. The record is from RNAcentral.
UGUCCUACGGGCGGCUGCAGUGGGGAAUUUUGCGCAAUGGGGGAAACCCUGACGCAGCAACGCCGCGUGAGUGAUGAAGGCCUUCGGGUCGUAAAGCUCUGUCAGAGGGGAAGAAGUGUGUGGGUGCUAAUAUCAUCCGCACUUGACGGUACCCUCAAAGGAAGCGCCGGCUAACUCCGUGCCAGCAGCCGCGGUAAUACGGAGGGUGCGAGCGUUGUUCGGAAUUAUUGGGCGUAAAGCGCGUGUAGGCGGUCUGAUAAGUCUGAGUUGAAAGCCCCGGGCUCAACCUGGGAAGUGCAUUGGAAACUGUCAGACUUGAAUACGGGAGAGGGCAGUGGAAUUCCUAGUGUAGGAGUGAAAUCCGUAGAUAUUAGGAGGAACACCGGUGGCGAAGGCGGCUGCCUGGACCGAUAUUGACGCUGAGACGCGAAAGCGUGGGGAGCAAACAGGAUUAGAUACCCCGGUAGUCUA